UACGGGGGGGGUAAGCGUUGUUCGGAAUUACUGGGCGUAAAGGGCUCGUAGGCGGCCAACUAAGUCAGACGUGAAAUCCCUCAGCUUAACUGGGGAACUGCGUCUGAUACUGGAUGGCUUGGAUCCGGGAGAGGGAUGCGGAAUUCCAGGUGUAGCGGUGAAAUGCGUAGAGAUCGGGAGGAACACCAGUGGCGAAGGCGGCUACCUGGACCAGCACUGACACUGAAGCACGAAAGCGUGGGGAGCAAACAGG
Molecule: ribosomal RNA, 253 nt
Filed under: uncultured bacterium
Lineage: Bacteria
Description: partial 16S ribosomal RNA
Rfam family: Bacterial small subunit ribosomal RNA
Source: RNAcentral